GAUGAAGAACGCAGCGAAAUGCGAAAAGUAAUGUGAAUUGCAGAAUUCAGUGAACCAUCGAAUCUUUGAACGCACAUUGCGCCCGCUGGAACUCCGGCGGGCACGCCUGUCCGAGCGUCAUUUCAACCCUCAGGCCCCCCUUCGCGGGCGGGCCUGGUGUUGGGGCCCGGCCGCUACCCUGCGGCCGUCCCCUAAAUUCAGUGGCGGCCUCGCCGUGAUCCCUUGCGUAGUAAUGCACCUCGCACCGGAGAGCGCCGUGGCCACGCCGUAAAACCCCCAAUUUUCAAUGGUUGACCUCGGAUCAGGUGGGAAUACCCGCUGAACUUAAGCAUAUCAUAAGCGGAGGA
Molecule: unclassified non-coding RNA, 347 nt
Filed under: soil metagenome
Description: partial contains 5.8S ribosomal RNA, internal transcribed spacer 2, and large subunit ribosomal RNA
Rfam family: 5.8S ribosomal RNA (bases 1-120)
Source: RNAcentral